GAAUUCACUAGUGAUUCAGGCCUAACACAUGCAAGUCGAGCGAUUCUCUUCGGAGAAGAGCGGCGGACGGGUGAGUAACGCGUGGGUAACCGGCCCUGUACACGCGGAUGACAUACCGAAAGGUAUGCUAAUACGAGAUAAUAUACUUUUAUCGCAUGGUAGAAGUAUCAAAGCUCCGGCGGUACAGGAUGGACCCGCGUCUGAUUAGCUAGUUGGUAAGGUAACGGCUUACCAAGGGGACGAUCAGUAGCCGACCUGAGAGGGUGAUCGGCCACAUUGGAACUGAGACGCGGUCCAAACUCCUACGGGAGGCAGCAGUGGGGAAUAUUGCAAAGGGGGCGAAAGCC
RNAcentral lists this ribosomal RNA (347 nucleotides) under uncultured bacterium. Its description in RNAcentral is "bacterial SSU rRNA". It matches the Rfam family "Bacterial small subunit ribosomal RNA", at positions 43 to 383 of the family's 1533-position model. The record is from RNAcentral.